ACCCGGAGAUAGGGUCUAGCAGCUGGAAGAGCACCGCACGUCUUGCGAUGUCCGGUGUGCCCUCGACAGCGCUUGAAAAUCUAGAUGGUCAAGUACCGUUCAUGCCCGGUCGUACUCAUAACCGCAUCGGUCUCCAAGGCGAACAACCUCUGGUCAAUAGAACGAUGUAGGUAAGGGAAGUCGGCAAAACGGAUCCAUAACUUCAGGAAAAGGAUUGGCUUUGAGGGCUGGGCCUAGGGGUCUGCACCCUCAACUCAUAGGUUGUAGGCAUUCUGCCUGAGUUGCUCUCGCGGCGAGGGCGAACAGUUGCAUGCUGAUUGGGCUAUAGGCGUAGAAUGCCCCCUACCAGGGGCUUUUCCCUAGGCAAUGAAUAGUUGACUCAGAACUGAUACGGACAAGGGGAAUCCAACUAUUUAAUUAAAACAAAGUAUGCGAUGGUCCCUGCGAAUGUUGACACAAUGUGAUUUAUGCCCAGUGCUCUGAAUGUCAAAGUGAAGAAAUUCAACCAAGCGCGGGUAAACGGCGGGAGUAACUAUGACUCUCUUAAGGUAGCCAAAUGCCUCGUCAUCUAAUUAGUGACACGCAUGAAUGGAUUAACGAGAUUCCCAUUGUCCCUAUCUACUAUCUAGCAAAACCACAUCCAAGGGAACGGGCUUGGCAGAAUCAACGGAGAAAGAAGACCCUGUUGAGCUCGACUCUAGUCCUACUUUGUGAAAUGACUUGAGAGGUGUAGAAUAAGUGGGAGUCGUUUUCAGCGCAAGUGAAAUACCACUACUUUUAAUGUUAUUUUACUUAUUUCAUGGGGCGGAGAUGGGGCACUCCCCCUAUUUUUGGCCUUAAGGCAUGUUUCGAUAGGUUGAUCAAGGCGGAAAACAUUAUCAGGUGGGGAGUUUCGUUGGGGCGGCACAUCUAUUAAAAGAUAACAUAGGUGUUCUAAGAUGAGCUCAACGAGAACAGAAAUCUCGUGUGGAACAAAAGGGUAAAAGCUCAUUUGAUUUUGAUUUUCAGUAUGAAUACAAACUGUGAAAGCGUGGCCUAUCGAUCCUUUAGAUUUUCGGAAUUUGAAGCUAGAGGUGUCAGAAAAGUUACCACGGGGAUAAUUGACUUGUGCCAGCCAAGCACUCAUAGCGACAUUGCUUUUUUAUCCUUCAAUGUCAGCUCUUCCUAUCAUUGUGAAUCCACCAAGUGUUGGAUUGUUCACCCACAAUAGGGAACGUGAGCUAGGUUUAGACCAUCAUGAGACAAGUUAGUUUUACGGUUUACCCUACUGAUGAACCGCAUUGCAAUAGUAAUUCAACUUAGUACGAGAGCAACCGUUGAUUCACACAAUUGGUCAUCGUGCUUGGUUGAAAAGCCAGUGGCGCGAAGCUACCAUGUGUCGAAUUAUGACUGAAUGCCUCUAAGUCAUAAUCCACGCUAGAAGCGGUGCAUGUCACUCUUCAACUGUAUCUCGACCCGCAGUAGGGGCGUCGCUUUGUCACCCUCAAGGGCCCAUGUCAUUUGCAAAUCGCAAUCGUGAAGCAUCUCGGUCAGGGCAACUUUGAAGUUCAAUUCCAAACGGUCAUUGAGAAGAAUCCUUUGCAGACGACUUAAAUAUGCAACGGGGUAUUGUAAGUGGCAAAGUGGCCUUGCUGCCACGAUCCACUGAGAUUCAGCCUUUGGUCGCCUCGAUUUAGAGCUUAGCUCUUGU
This 1690-nucleotide ribosomal RNA is filed under the name Pinus taeda (loblolly pine). RNAcentral describes it as "eukaryotic LSU rRNA". It matches the Rfam family "Eukaryotic large subunit ribosomal RNA", at positions 1733 to 3401 of the family's 3401-position model. Lineage: Eukaryota; Viridiplantae; Streptophyta; Pinopsida; Pinales; Pinaceae. The record is from RNAcentral.